This 463-nucleotide ribosomal RNA is filed under the name uncultured bacterium. RNAcentral's name for it is "partial 16S ribosomal RNA". It matches the Rfam family "Bacterial small subunit ribosomal RNA", at positions 29 to 506 of the family's 1533-position model. The record is from RNAcentral.
AUGAACGCUGGCGGCGUGCUUAACACAUGCAAGUCGCACGGAAAGGCUCCUGCUUGCAGGGGUACUCGAGUGGCGAACGGGUGAGUAACACGUGGGUGAUCUGCCCUGCACUUCGGGAUAAGCCUGGGAAACUGGGUCUAAUACCGGAUAGGACGAUGGUUUGGAUGCCAUUGUGGAAAGUUUUUCGGUGUGGGAUGAGCUCGCGGCCUAUCAGCUUGUUGGUGGGGUAAUGGCCUACCAAGGCGUCGACGGGUAGCCGGCCUGAGAGGGUGUACGGCCACAUUGGGACUGAGAUACGGCCCAGACUCCUACGGGAGGCAGCAGUGGGGAAUAUUGCACAAUGGGCGCAAGCCUGAUGCAGCGACGCCGCGUGGGGGAUGACGGCCUUCGGGUUGUAAACUCCUUUCGCUAGGGACGAAGCGCAAGUGACGGUACCUGGAGAAGAAGCACCGGCUAACUACGU